This 351-nucleotide ribosomal RNA is filed under the name Triticum aestivum (bread wheat). Its description in RNAcentral is "partial small subunit ribosomal RNA". Lineage: Eukaryota; Viridiplantae; Streptophyta; Magnoliopsida; Poales; Poaceae. The record is from RNAcentral.
AUGGGGAGCUCCGGCGGAGUCUUUGCAUGGAUAAGGUGGCGCUGCACCUGUGAGAGACAGAGGGAAGGAGAGGGCGCGAGAAGCAGCGGGGAAGUUCUGGUGGUGCCCGUCUCCUGCAACAGCUCUCUUGAGUACGCCCAGAGAGAGAUGAGAGAGAGCCAGGAGGAAGAAGGAAAGGAAGGAGACUUCAGGAAGGGGCGGCGGGAUCCUGCAGGGCUGGGUUGGAGCCCCGUGGUAGCUUGCUCUGGUGGUGCUACUACUGCUGUUGGACGGCAGCUGAUGGGACAAGGCCUAGGUAAGAGGAAAACCAUGUGUUGCAUCGACACAUUUGAUGCAGAGCGGCCACUGUAG